RNAcentral lists this transfer RNA (73 nucleotides) under Dipodomys ordii (Ord's kangaroo rat). It matches the Rfam family "tRNA". Rfam says of the family: Transfer RNA (tRNA) molecules are approximately 80 nucleotides in length. Lineage: Eukaryota; Metazoa; Chordata; Mammalia; Rodentia; Heteromyidae. The record is from Rfam by way of RNAcentral.
GGAGGUGUGGCUCUAGUGGUAGGGCCCCUGCUUCAUAAGCCUGAAGCUCUGAGUUCAAUCCCUAGUACUUCCA